AUGAAAGAGGAGAUCAUGUUCGACAACCAAUCCAAGCCAUGCAGAUCGAGGGUUGACUCCAAGAGUAACCAAAAUCCUCUCAAGCCCAAGUUCGGGUCAUCAUGGGGAUCCCAAAUUGUCAAGGGGUUCACAGCCGACAAGAAAACCAAGAAGACAUCAGCUAUUGCAAGCAAGAAGCCGCCUCUUGCAAGCAUGGAGAAUGUUAACCAGAGCAACCAACAGAUUACAUACCAAUCUAGGGUUAAGAGAUCUCUGAUAGGAGAUUUUCCUUGCUCGCCUGCUGGUGCUCAAGUUCAUCCCCAUGCCUUUGAUUGCCACGGUAUUAGGUCCCCGGCAUCUCAUGAUCUUUUUCUUGAGUUGGACCAUCUCAGGGAACAACUGCGUGAGUCCAAGGAAAGAGAAUCAGCUUUGCAAUCAGAGUUGCAGCAAUGCAGAGAAAAUCCAAGGGUUUCGGCACUUGAGAAGGAGCUUGAUUCUAGGAAGAAUGAGAUUGACAAGCUUGCACGGCUUAAAACUUCACUAGAAACUGAGAAAACAAGCCUUUCUGAACAGCUAUCAGUUCUAUCUUCUAUGGUGGAGCAGCAUGAAGAAACUGUAAGAUUGGAUGGGCAUGGCAAUCGCACUUCUAGUGCGGAUGGGGACAAUGUAUAUUCUUCAGGAAACUUGGAGUUUGAAGUUGUUGAGCUGCGUCGUUUAAACAAGGAGCUUCAGUUUCAGAAACGAAGUCUUGCAAUCAAGCUCUCUUCAGCAGAGUCCAAAUUGGCUGUCCUUGAAAAGAAUGCAGAGAGCGAGAUAGUCGCCAAGGUUCAAGCAGAGGCCUCAUUGUUGCGGCACACCAAUGCAAACUUGAGCAAGCAAGUUGAGGGCCUGCAAAUGAGUCGGCUGACUGAGGUUGAGGAGCUUGCUUAUCUUCGCUGGAUCAAUUCAUGUUUACGUCAUGAGCUCUGUAGCUCGGAUCAAACAGCCAGAGCAAUCACUGAUCUUGAUUAUAAUGAUGGUAUGGCUUGUAAUGAUGAUCAUUGUGAUGGCAACACCAGAAAUGGUGAGAACAGUUCUGAUGAUAAAAGGCUCAGCAUUGCCGAACGUAUCAAGCAAUGGUCUCAGAACGAUACAAACUGUCAAACAUCUAAAAAGGAAUCUCUUCUUGAUAGAGCAUGGAUUGAAGCCACAGAACCGCGAAGCCCCACACGUAGGCACUCACUUGGUGGAUCAAAGGGAUGUGCACAGGACUUGAACAUUGUGAAGAGGAGGCAAUCUGAUACCUUUAUCUGCCUUCCAGAGGCAACAGAGGAAGCAGUAUCCUGUAAUAAGGAUCAGGCAAGCAGGGAGAAGCGUGAGCUCCUUGUGGACAAGUAUGAUUUUGGUCAAUCUGAUAGUUCAAGAUUUGCUCUUGGCAAGCCAGAAAUAUGCAAGUCUCAAUGCUUGGAUGUCGAAAAGCGCACCCUGCGCAUUCCAAACCCUCCACCAAGACCUUCAGUGUCUCUGCCAUAUUCUGGUCCAUCAAAUGGAUCGACUGUAAAUCCACCCCGCCCACCUCCUCCGCCUCCCCCGCCUAAGUUUUCCACAAGAAGUACUGGAGUCAUGAAGAGGGCACCACAAGUUGCAGAGCUAUACCAUUCACUUAUGAGAAGGGAUUCAAAGAAAGAUACUUCUGGGGGUGGAAUCACUGAAACUGCUAACUCCGCAAAUGUGCGGAGUAGUAUGAUUGGUGAAAUCGAGAACCGUUCUUCGCAUUUGCAGGCUAUCAAGGCGGAUGUUGAGACUCAAGGUGAAUUUGUGAAAUCAUUGAUCAAGGAGGUGACUGAUGCAGCUUACAAAGAUAUAGAAGACGUUGUUGCAUUUGUGAAGUGGCUUGACGAUGAACUCGGUUUCCUGGUGGAUGAGAGAGCAGUGCUGAAGCAUUUUGAUUGGCCCGAGAGGAAGGCGGACACUUUACGAGAGGCGGCUUUUGGCUACCAAGACCUCAAAAAAUUGGAAUCGGAAGUUUCUAACUAUAAAGACGAUCCACGCCUUCCCUGUGACAUUGCACUUAAGAAAAUGAUAACAGUGUCUGAAAAGACGGAGCGAGGUGUGUACAACGUUCUGAGGACGAGGGAUGCAAUGAUGAGGCAGUGCAAGGAGUUCAACAUUCCAGUUGACUGGAUGCUUGACAACAAUCUCAUUAGCAAGAUCAAAUUUGCUUCUGUGAAAUUAGCAAAUAUGUACAUGAAAAGAGUUGCUAUGGAGCUUCAGUACAUGGGACCUCUGAACAAGGAUCUAGCUCUGGAGUACAUGCUCCUUCAGGCUGUGAGAUUUGCCUUCAGAAUUCAUCAGUUUGCUGGAGGAUUCGACACGGAGACCAUGGAUGCAUUUGAGGAGCUGAGGAAUCUUGUUCAUGUCAGGAACAGUACCCAGUAG
Molecule: ribosomal RNA, 2397 nt
Filed under: Triticum aestivum (bread wheat)
Lineage: Eukaryota; Viridiplantae; Streptophyta; Magnoliopsida; Poales; Poaceae
Description: partial small subunit ribosomal RNA
Source: RNAcentral